This 145-nucleotide small RNA is filed under the name Malus domestica (apple). RNAcentral's name for it is "sRNA MD14G0196500". Lineage: Eukaryota; Viridiplantae; Streptophyta; Magnoliopsida; Rosales; Rosaceae. The record is from RNAcentral.
AGCUUAGUGAGGUUCCAAGGAAGCUCGGAGUGCUUCGUUGGAAGUUUUUGGACGUAAGAACACGGAGAUCGAUAAGUUCAAAGUUUGGCCGGAGCUUUCGAGGCGUUUUCCGGCGAAUCCCCGGCGAGUUAGGAGUCGAGGUAGG